RNAcentral lists this ribosomal RNA (411 nucleotides) under uncultured eukaryote. RNAcentral's name for it is "bacterial SSU rRNA". It matches the Rfam family "Eukaryotic small subunit ribosomal RNA", at positions 592 to 1016 of the family's 1831-position model. The record is from RNAcentral.
CAAUAGCGUAUAUUAAAGUUGUUGCAGUUAAAAGCUCGUAGUUGGACCUCUGGGAGGGACCCAUGUCCGCCGUGUGCGUGCGCAGCGGGCCGCUUCCAUCCUUCUGUUAACGUUUCUCGGUAUUCGCUUACUGGUUUCGGGCUCAGAUAUUUUACCUUGAGAAAAUUAGAGUGUUUCAGGCAGGCUUGCGCCGGAAUACAUUAGCAUGGAAUAAUGGAAUAGGACUACGGUCUCUUUGUUGGUUUGAGGGACUGCAGUAAUGAUUAAUAGGGAUAGUUGGGGGCAUUAGUACUUAACUGUCAGAGGUGGAAUUCUCAGAUUUGUUAAAGACUGACUUAUGCGAAAGCAUUUGCCAAGGAUGUUUUCAUUAAUCAAGAACGAAAGUUAGGGGAUCGAAGACGAUCAGAUACC